CAUGUAUUAAACAGCGGGAGCCUACCCAGGCUUGCCUCGGGCACCAUGGGUAGCAAGGAAAAGGAGGCCACAACCAACAUGCCAACCAGGGGUCUUCCUUUCUCCUCCUGUCCAUGAGAAGCAUAACUCCUGCCCUUCUCCCUUCUCGUCUUGAAGGAGAAACAUGUGCCUGUAGAAGUGAAAGUACCGUGGAAAGAUUUAAGAAAAAAGAGAGAGAUGUCCUUACUCCAAAGUUAAUAAUGACGCCGCUCUCUGCCACAGCCAGGUGGAGGUAGGUGUCUGAUUAAGCACGCUGCACCCUGGGAGAGAAUAAGAAAGUAAAAGGCAGUCUCUAAGGCUGCUCCACGGAGGGAGGGCCAAAGUCGGGUGAGAGGCCUGUGAGCCCUGAGCGGGGAGAAGAGCUGGACCCCCGAAUCUGGAGCCCCGACGACGACGACGACACAGGCAGGAACCUUGACAAAUAGACUGGAUGCUGGUCAUGAAUGAAUGUGGAAUUGAAGUUGGCUCCUUUGGCUGCAGGAUGCCAGGUUCUCCCCUUCUAGACAACUCAGUGCCCCACACCUGGCCGAGGCAACUUUGGGGGCUUCAUUCUCCUUGGAAGUAAUUAAACUGUGUAGAGCUUCAAAAGAAUGGAAGGUAAGAAUAAACAUGGCUGCAUUCUCCCACCUUCAGAUCUUCCAGGUGAAGCCUGGACUAGAAAGAGGACUGGACCUGGAGUCAGGAAGCUCCCUGGUCUGGUCUCUGUGGAAUAACUCCCUGAACAACCAUUAGCAAAUCACUUGACUGCUCAGAGCCUCGGUUUCCUCAUCUGUGAAACUGGGAAUAGUAAAACCUAACUCAGAGAAUUGUGGGGGAAAAUCAAAUAACAGUGCUGGCCUCAACAGCAUGUGAUCUGGUGUGUGUGUGACCUUGGGAGCCAGAAGGUCAGGACUCCUAUCCCAACCCUGUGGUUUAUCAGCCACAUGACCUUGAGGAAGUUUUGGAGCCUUCCGGGCCUCAUCUGUAAAAUGAAAAUUGUAAUAGCAGAUGCUGCAGUGCAGGGGUGUAGAAUUUAAAUGAAAUGAGGACAGGCUUGGCAAGUAAGUAUGCUGAAGUGUUACAAAGCUAACAAAUACUGAAUUAUUUCCUUCUCCUCUUCUGUGAAAUAAGGGAAUUGAACUCAAUACAUAAGAUACAUUUCUUUGCUGAUGCUAAGUCUAGGAUUUUUUGAAAAUUUUAUUAUGUAGCUUUCUAACAUUAUACAAAAAGGUUCACAUGCUGGAACAAAAAUCCAGGUACUCACUACUAGGUUAAAAAGUAAACCUUACCAGAGUUCCUCUUGUGGCAUAGCGGAAAUGAA
Long non-coding RNA from Phacochoerus africanus (Common warthog), 1339 nucleotides. RefSeq lists it as uncharacterized. The record is from RefSeq and is a predicted model, not a curated record. NCBI's taxonomy places the organism in Eukaryota, Metazoa, Chordata, Mammalia, Artiodactyla, Suidae. The transcript has 4 exons.